This 6685-nucleotide long non-coding RNA is filed under the name Homo sapiens (human). RNAcentral's name for it is "HSALNT0310234". Lineage: Eukaryota; Metazoa; Chordata; Mammalia; Primates; Hominidae. The record is from RNAcentral.
ACCCACCUUGGCCUCCCAAAGUGCUGGUAUUACAGGCGUGAGCCACUGUGCCCAGUCUAUUUUUAGUUUUAAUAGCCAUAUAUCUAAUAGCUGCCAUCUUGGACAGCAGAGGUCUAAGUAACAAUUAUUUGUUGGCUUUAAGUUUUGCAAAUGUCUUCUCCAAGUUUGUGAACUGUCUUUUCACUCCUUUCAAGUUGCUUUUGAUGAACAGAAGUCCUUAAUUUUAAUGUAUUGAAUAUUAUUAACCUGUUCCUUUACAGUUGGUGUAUUUAUAUAUCUUGUUUAUAAAAUCCUUUCUCAUACUUUCUUAUCUUAGUAUAUUUUCUUAUACUGAGGUCUGAGGAACUGAUUUUUGUGUUUAUAAUUUUCUUCCCUCAUGAGUCAUCAGUUUUCCUAGCACAGUUUACUGAAUGAGCCUUCUUUUCCUCACCAAUCUGCAGGACUGCCUGUAUCAAUCAGGGUACUGGCGAGAAACAGAAGGCACACUCAAACAUUAACAUUAAAGAGAGUUUAAAAAAGGCAGUAUUUACAAAGGAGAGGCUGAGGUAAGGGAAACUAAUAGGUGAUGAAGCAGUUUCAACUGGCAAGAGCUGAAACCCUUACCACUUCUAACCUUGAGAGUCAAGGAAAGGCAGGAGUUACUGGACCCAGAGGGAGGAGUGGAGGAAGACCUCCAAAUAGAAGGGGAGACUUCCACAGAGAAACAUACCAAUCACCUUGACCCAGGAGAGACAGAGUUGGCCAGAGGACUAAACACCUGUCUGCUCAACCUCAUGCUGUCCCUCCUGUAGAUUUGGUGGUAAAUCCACCAUAACCCAGCUGGAAGCCAGAGGGCAGGGAACCCACCAAUGCAGGCCACAGAGGUCUGCUCUGGAGUACAGAACUGAGUGGAGCAGGUUGGAGACUGCAUCUGGGUGAACAAAUAAACCAUCAAGCACACCUGCAUGGUUAUAAAUCUAUUUUCCAUAAAUGCAUGGGUAGGUACAAGAUCUCUCUCCAUACUGUGCCACUGAUCUAUUUGCAGCACUCCACGCUGCUUUAAGUAUUAAAGCUUUAAAUAUAUUUUCAUAUUUGAGAGGGCAAGAAUCAUCACCUUGUUUUUCCUCUUCAGGAAUGUCUUGGCCAUUCCCUGCCUUUUGUUCUUCCAUUUAUAUUUCAGAAUCAGCUUGCCAGUAUUCAUGAAGAACUCUGUUGGAAUUGUGACGGGAGUUGCAAUGAGUCUCUAGAUCAAUUGGAAGAGAGCUGACAUAUUUACAAUUCCUUCCACGGAUAGGGUUUAUGUCUCCACAUACUUAGGUCUUAUUUAAUAUAUUUCUUAAUAAGGUUUUAUCAUACUCUCUAUAAAGAGCUUCCUUUUUUUGUUAUUUUUUUUCUAGGUACCUAUUUUUGUUGCUAUGGUAAAUAUCUUUUUUUUUUAAAUAAAAAAGUCACUUUUUGCCUGAUGCUUGUAUAUAAAAAUGAAAUUAUUUUUGUCUAUUUUGGACUGAGCAACCUUACUAAAUUAUCUUAGUAAUUCUAAUGAUUUACCUGAGAGUUCUUUGGAGUUUUCUUUGCAGACAGACGUAUUAUCUGCAAAUAAUGAUAGUGUUGUUUCUUCCUUUACAAUCCAUAUAUCUUUACUUUUUAAUCUUCUGUACCAUUUAGGACUUCUAGUUAAGUGUAGAAUAGAAGUUGAUAUUAGCAUACAUCCUUAACUUUCAGGCUCCUGAUUUUCAGGGGAAUGCUUUCAAUAUUUCAACAUUAAUUAUAAUGCCCUCUGUAACUUCUUGUAGAAGCACUUUAUCACGUUAAUCAAAUGCCCCCUACUAUUUCUAGGUUAAGUGUUUUUGUUUUUAACAUGAAAGUAAGUCGAAUUUUAUUAAAUGCUCUUACUGCAUUAAUUGGGGUUAUCAUAGGAGUUUUCUUCCAACCGCAUUUGGAAUAGUCCAAUUUCUAAUUGCUAAAUUCCUACCCAGUUUUCAAGGGUAGGAUCAUUCCCCACUCCCCAUCAUAAGGCAUCCCUUUUCCUCUCCCUUUAUUUCAUAGUCCCUUUGUAGAAGGAAAUCAUAUAUUCACUUAUGCAUCCCCCAAUGCCCAGCACACAAGCACAUAGUAAAUGCUAACAAAAUGUCGGUUGAAUUAUGGAGCGAGUCAUUCUUGUGGCACUUUAUAGCUUUGAUUUUAUACUUUCAUAUCCACGUUUCUUUUCUCGCCUCUGGACUGGAAGCUUUAGAGGACAGAGUCCACAUCUGAUGAUUCUCGUUAUUCCUCUAGGACACAAUCCAGGGACUGAUUCAGAACCUUGUUCACCAAUAGAUGAUUCCUUGCUUUCCUUGGUAAACUCCAUCAUCAAAACCAUCCAACCAGUCUUCCAGGAGUAGCCAAUCUCUCUUCAUAGUCCGCUCUGCAGAGAGAGAGGUUUAUUUCACUCUCACCCUCAGGGAACCAGGCCAGUUCUGAUGACUAAGGGCAAAAUAAUUUGCUCCUUUGCUGAGAUUAAUUUCUAAAAAAUGAUUUUGCAAUAGCCUGGGCUUGACUGGCCAGGGGUGAAGGAAGGAGAAAGAAGCCAUAAAGAGCAUUUCUUCCCUCUAAUGAAACUGAACCAAGGACAGGACAAUAAGCCAGGGAGUCAGCCAUUGAUGGGUCUUUACUCAGCCCUUACUUUGUUCCCGGCCCUAUUGCUAGGCAUUGUAGAAGUGGGAGAGACAUGCUGGCCUCUUUCCUGAAUGCUUGGAAUUUAUUUUUCACCUUGGAAACAGAAAUUUCACAUUUGACAAGUUAAACAAUACGACAAGGCCGUCUGUUUACUCAUUCAUCCAUUUAUUCUUCCGUUCAUUUAUUCAUAUAGUGUUAAACAAUACGACAAGGCCAUCUGUUUACUCGUUCAUCCAUUUAUUCUUCCAUUCAUUUAUUCAUGUAGUAUUUCAAAGCCUCUGCCAUGUGGUAGGUAUUGUGCUAAGCACUGGGGAAUUCAGGGUUGAAGAGAUGCCUCCCCUGGCCUUAGGCUGAAUAAGGGAGUUGGUUAAUUAAACAGCUCCAGUACCGUGUGAUAUAUGUGGUGGUCAAGGUAUGUUUUCAAGCACUGAAUUGGGGAACAACAGGAUACAGGGACUCUCAGAGGGAGUAAUGAAUGGAUUAUCAGAGGACAUGAAUUUGGUGUAGAAGUUUAUUAUCAGGAUAAGAGAGAAGGAUAUAUGAAAAGUUGGGGCGACAUGGAGAGCACAGGAAGUUUGGAAGAUGAUGACUGGCAUGACUAGAGUUCAGGGACAGGAUGGAGGAUGAGAAGGAAGAAGGCCAGGAAGGCAGGCAGGGACCAGGCCCUUAACUCACAGUGAGAAGUUGUGGGAGCCUUCACCUCAGGGCAUCAGAAGUCAUUUAAACAUUUCAGCAGGGAGUAAUGUGAUCUGAUUCGUGUUUUAGGUUCCAAAAGGUCAGAGCAGAGAGAAUGGAUAGGGAGAGCGGAAACUGGAAUGAGGAAGGCAAAUGAAGAAGAGUGUUUGAGCUGGGACUUGAAGGAUGCACAGGAUUGACUGAGUAAGGAUGAGAGGGUGUGGCAUCCCAGGCAAAAGGGAUGGCAAAACUUCCAGUAUAGAAAUUGGGAAGCAGUGGGAGGUCAAGGUACCAGUGAAGAGAUCAGGCUGAUUAGAAUCCAAGGAAGGUCAUAAAGUUUGGAAGUGGGUGGCACGCAUUAGGGGGACAUCUGGGGGCUCAGAAGCCUGUAGAACCAAGUGAAAAGGGGUCCAGCAAAGAUUCCAAAAUCUUAGAAAUUGGAGAUAAAGCAGUGGGUAGUGGGAAGAGAUUAGCUGGAGAUGAAAAAACCUAGAUUCUAGACUCAGCUCUGUCACUAACUUGCUACAUGAGUUUGAGCAAAUUAUUUCUCCUCUCUAGGUCUCGGUUUUCUCACUUAUAAAAUGAAAGUGCUGGCCUAGAUCUCUUCUAGCACUGGUGAUUUAGGAUGCCAAGCACUAGCCUCUAUCCUUCCAUUCCCAAGUGUGUUUGCAUUUGCCCCAGGCCAUCUCAGACCGUGCUCACUGCCUCACUGCAGCCUGCCAAGCUGCAUCUCAGCCAGAGGAAGCAGAAUUAGUGGAUGAGACAAAACAAGACAAAAAUACGCAUAAUAUAAACCCUCAAAGAAGGAAGGAAGGCUGUUAAAGCAUGAGGCAGGGAGAACCAGUGAUGAAGAUAAUUAGGAAAACCUAAUUAUUGGAAUAACAGACUCAAUAUAUAGGUUGCACAACAGAAAGGAAAAGCUGAAGAAUAGUAUAUCUGUUAGCUUUUGCUGUGUAACAAACCACUGCUAAACUUACUGGCCAUUUAUUACUGCUCAUUGUUCACAUGUCACAUAAGCACUGCUGUUGAGCUGGUCAGACACAGUUGAUCUCAGCCUUGCUCAUGCAUUUGUGGCUGGCUGGAAGGUCUGCUGGGGGCUAGCUGGUUUGGGAUCAUCUCAUUCACGUGUCUGACAAUUGUCUGGAUGUCAGCUGGGACAAAGGAGCUGACUGGGUCACAUGUCUUUUAAGAUUAUUCAGUAUGCACACCAGGGCUUGUCUACAUGGUGCUAUGUUUGAAUGUGUCCCCUCCAAAAUUCAUGUUGAAAUUUGAUCCCCGUUGUGGUGGUCUUAUGAGGUGGGGCCUUUGGAAGUUGAUUAGACCAUUAAGGCCCCACUCUCAUGAAUGGGUUAAUGACCUUAGGAAAGAAGGUUUUAGAGAGUUUGCCUUCCACCAGAUGAGGACAAACAAAAAGGUACCAUCUUGAAAGCAGAGAGCAGCUCUCACCAGACACCAAUGGGAGCACCUUGGUCUUGGACUUCCAGCUUCCAGAACUGUGAGACAUAAAUUUCUAUUGUUUCUAAACUACUGAGUCUGUGGUAUUUUAUCAUAGCAGCUUGAACAACUAAGACAUAUGGUGGUAUCAGGAUUCUAAGAGAGAGACUGGAAGUGUACAAAUGGUCAGAAUAUGUCACAAGGCCAGCCAAGAGUCAAGGAUGGGGAAAUAGAUUCCAUUGAUGAUGCAGAGUAGCACUACAAAAUGGCAUAGACAGAGGAAGGAAUGAGGGAUUGUGGAAAUUUUUUCCCCAAUUUAUUAAAUUGAAUUCUCUGGCCGGAGUUAUUCACAUUCUUCCCAAAUGCAAAUAUACCUACUCCCAUUCCAGUACCCCACAAAAUUCUCACUGAACUAUGACAUCAAACUUGGAGUCAAGCUUGGAUCUCAUGAUCUCUCUCAGUUUCCAAUGAGACUUUUCAAAUGUGGCUCCUCUUCACUUGAAGACCCCUGAAUGAAGAAGAUAAGUGACUUGACCCACACCUCACUAAAACACAUUGGUGAGACAGGUAAAGUGUAGAUGUAAUGAAAACUUUUAUUCAGAAGGGGGAAAUAAGAAGCAAAUAACACUCACUGGUCUAUAGCACUACUGAAAUCCAGCUGGGCUAAUAUUAACAGGUUUUCCUACUGAAGAGGAGGAAAUAUUCCUUGAUUAGACCUAAACUCUGCUCCGUGGGAGUGACUUCUCAGUCUGUUUUUUACCUCUGUCUUUUGAGGCCACUUUUUGGGAUUACCAAGACUGGCCUCAUUUGCAGCUGGGUAGCUUUCUCAAUUUGAUUCCUUUCUGUAGAAAGUUGGGGACCAGAAGCCCUCUUAUAUUUGAGCCACCUUAGAUUUCAGUCCACAUCUUAAUGUAGGCUGGUAGCACUUUUACAUAUUCAGCUCCAUUAAAAACCAUGUGGGUUUCCUAUAAAUCUGAUUCAAGUCCAACCUAUUUGACAAAAGUCAUGCCAAUUUUCUUUGAGAUAUGACCCUCUCUUUAGACUUAUUCACAGCUACUUUGGGUUUGUCCAGACAGCUAUAAGAUGAUGUCCUUAAAGUUCCUAGAAUUUUUUUUUGUCUAGAAUAAAGGGUCUACUUAAGAUGCAGUAACUUAAUUCUGUUGAUUUUAACAAAGGAUGUCUGUAGGGAAAAUUGCACAAAGCUUCCCCGGGCUUGAAAACUACCUGCCUGGAUCAUGACAGUUCCUUUGGCCAUUACUAAGGAGCCAUGGUGUUCAAAGCAGGCUCUUCCUACGGACAGGCAGUAUAAGUAUUGCCUAUGAAGUGUGCUAAGAGAGGAACCAGGAAGAUUCCACCUCAGACUCAAAAAUCUUUUUUAUUUCUCCCAUUCCUUAAGUUCCUUCAAUGUAGAUGGAUUGCUUUUGGUCAAUUGCAUCAAUUGCAUUAAUCUGUCACAGAGGGUCUAUCAUGCAUGGCCAUUGUCAUGGAUAAAGUACCUUAAUUACUUUGCUCAGUGCCUUGCCCUUAGAAAGUGCUCAGGAUAUCUUAGUUCCCUCCUCCCAGUUCAUUCCUACUUUUCCUGAGGCUUCCGUCUUGCAAUUUACGUUACACCACAGGAGGGAAUAGAGUAAGGGUCUAUCACCUCCAUGUAAGUGAGUUUGUUGGUUGGUUCCUUGAACAAAUAUUUAUGGAGUGACUACCCUGUGCCAGGCACUGGGACUAUGUUCCUGAAUGAAGUCCCUGCCUUUAUGGAGCUUACAACAACGUAGGGGACAGAGAGACAGAAAAUAAGUCAACAACCCAUAAAAUAAUCACAGACUGUGAUAACACUAGGAUGGAAACAAGGUGGGGGGCUGAGACUGGGCAGCUGGGGAACCCUGUAUGACUGAUGAUAGCUGCGAAUGAGGAGGAGGGAAGGGAAGGCUGGAGAGGAAUGAGAAAA